AAUUAAAUGGCUGAAUAUUUAGGCGAUGAAUUGUAAAUUCAUUUAUGAGUUAAAUCUUUAAUUA
RNAcentral lists this transfer RNA (64 nucleotides) under Systropus sp. 2 YXA-2022a. RNAcentral's name for it is "tRNA-Tyr". Lineage: Eukaryota; Metazoa; Arthropoda; Insecta; Diptera; Bombyliidae. The record is from RNAcentral.